GCUAAUACCGCAUACGUCUGUAAAGGGAAAGCGGGGGCUCGUAAGACCUCGCGCUAUUGGAUGAGCCAAAGUCGGAUUAGCUAGUUGGUGGGGUAAUGGCCUACCAAGGCGACAAUCCGUAGCUGGUCUGAGAGGACGACCAGCCACACCGGAACUGAGACACGGUCCGGACUCCUACGGGAGGCAGCAGUGGGGAAUAUUGGACAAUGGGGGAAACCCUGAUCCAGCGACGCCGCGUGUGUGAAGAAGGCCUGCGGGUUGUAAAGCACUUUUAGUGGGGACAAAAAGCUACGGAUUAAUACUCUGUGGCCUUGAUUUAACCCAAAGAAAAAGCACCGGCUAACUCUGUGCCAGCAGCCGCGGUAAUACAGAGGGUGCGAGCGUUAAUCGGAAUUACUGGGCGUAAAGCGCGCGUAGACGGUUUUGUAAGUCAGAUGUGAAAUCCCUGGGCUCAACCUGGGAACUGCAUUUGAAACUGCAUGGCUAGAGUAUCGA
This 495-nucleotide ribosomal RNA is filed under the name uncultured bacterium. RNAcentral describes it as "bacterial SSU rRNA". It matches the Rfam family "Bacterial small subunit ribosomal RNA", at positions 162 to 652 of the family's 1533-position model. The record is from RNAcentral.